UGAUGAUGAUGAUGAUGAUGAUGAUGAUGAUGAUCAUUAUCAUUAUCAUUACUACUA
Molecule: microRNA precursor, 57 nt
Filed under: Podarcis lilfordi (Lilford's wall lizard)
Lineage: Eukaryota; Metazoa; Chordata; Lepidosauria; Squamata; Lacertidae
Source: RNAcentral